GCGUGCGGGAAGAAGGCCUUCGGGUUGUAAACCGCUUUUGUCAGGGAAGAAACGCUCUGGGCUAAUACCCCGGGGUAAUGACGGUACCUGAAGAAUAAGCACCGGCUAACUACGUGCCAGCAGCCGCGGUAAUACGUAGGGUGCAAGCGUUAAUCGGAAUUACUGGGCGUAAAGCGUGCGCAGGCGGUUAUGCAAGACAGAUGUGAAAUCCCCGGGCUUAACCUGGGAACUGCAUUUGUGACUGCAUAGCUAGAGUGCGGCAGAGGGGGAUGGAAUUCCGCGUGUAGCAGUGAAAUGCGU
This 300-nucleotide ribosomal RNA is filed under the name uncultured bacterium. RNAcentral's name for it is "bacterial SSU rRNA". It matches the Rfam family "Bacterial small subunit ribosomal RNA", at positions 399 to 691 of the family's 1533-position model. The record is from RNAcentral.